GCCAGAUGAUGUUGUGAUUUGAUGAGUACAUGAUUACACUCUAUCCACUACCCAUGACUGAUGGCA
Small nucleolar RNA from Patiria miniata (bat star), 66 nucleotides. RefSeq annotates it as small nucleolar RNA SNORD83. The transcript has a single exon. The record is from RefSeq and is a predicted model, not a curated record. NCBI's taxonomy places the organism in Eukaryota, Metazoa, Echinodermata, Asteroidea, Valvatida, Asterinidae.